UUAAUAUGAUUUGAUUUCUCAAAACGGAAGUAUAUCAGACAGCAUGACAUUUCAUCGACAUGUUUUGUUAUGGGCAUCCGACAGCCUUACCUAAAAGUGAUUUCUCACGAAAAGUGCUGCCGAAGCAAAAGAUGAAUGUUUCACAAAGGGUAGGGUGACAAAUGGGACCGCAUACAAAAGUGCAUGUUUGCCGGUACCCAAAUGUAAGUUCAGUAACUUUACUCGCUAGGAGUUUCAGCCUGUAACUGGUAAUGAUCCUUCCGCAGGUUCACCUACGGAAA
Molecule: unclassified non-coding RNA, 281 nt
Filed under: uncultured fungus
Lineage: Eukaryota; Fungi
Description: sequence contains ITS1
Source: RNAcentral